UUUGCAAAAUGAAGACAGACAAGGUAAAUAGAACCAGUGAUCUAACAGCAACUCAUAGGCUUCUCAUACAGGCAUCAUUUAUCCCCAUUCAAGCUGCUGCCACCAGCUGCAUUCAGCCCCAUGCUUGCCUGGCUUUGUGCACGUAGUAGGCACAGCUGCUGACAGACACUGCAUAAGGGACUGGAGGAGUUGGGGGUGCUGGAGAAGAGAAGACUCCAGAAGUACCAGCCCCCAGCCCAGCAGUGGUUGACAGCACUCUUGGAGCAGCAAUAAUCCAUCCAACCCGCUGGCACACCUAAUGGUGGGGCUGCUCCCCAGACUCCUCACUGACAGCACCUGUGCCAUUUCCUUGCCCCAGGAAUGUAGAAUGCCCUGCCUGCUCAUGUUUCUGAGGGCUCUUGGGGAAUAUUUCGUUCAGGCCUCCCUUAGUUUUUAGCCUUGUACUGUCUUCAACAACUGAUCAGUGCUAAGACCAUGGAAACCUCCAAACAGAACAGUUAAGGCACAGCCCAAGGGUGCAAGAAGAUUUUUCUCCAUACCUUGGACUGCACAUGUGACAAAGUGCAUAAACAUGCUGAAACAAUACCUAGGCCAGAGAAAAAAAGAACAGACUAUAUCAGCUUAACAUGCAGAGUAGCUUGGAAAUUUGCUCCUGAUUUCAGGCAAAAAGGUAAGAAGAAUUCAGGACCUUCUCUCCCCACUUGGUUUUGGAGCAAACAAGGAGGGCAAUUAUAAAGAGGUAGAAGGGAGUUCUGGAAAUGAGUUUCUGUGUUGUUUGGCUGACUUUCAGAGGAUCUGAUCACUUUAAUACUGUAUGUAUUAAACUGUUCUGUUAAUGAUGUGUUAAGGCAGUCAUGGAUUUACUAGAGGUUCUAGGCAGAUCAAUGUUACAUCUUCCCCACUGGGCACACAGAAUCUUGGACAGACAUCAUUUAGCUAUCAUUUCAAUCAAGGAAAACAUAAUAAGUCCUUUCUAAAGCUGAAUGAAUUAUUGACAUCAACUGUCCUUUUGUUGCACAUAAUUUCUGCUAGAAGGAUGACUCCAGGAAUGUUUCAUUGCAAAUUUUCCAUAGCUUUUUCAUCUCUGUUUGCCUUGGUGCAUGGCCCUAUACUUAUUCUCGAUGGCCUGGAGAAACAGCCAAAGGUAUUUUGAAUCAUUUCACAUUCAGGAGUGGCCUUUGUGGAUGUGGUUCUAGCCCACUCAAAAAAUAAAGGCUGAAACCUACUUGUUAGCUACAAAUUUUGCUGUUCCAUUGAAAGUGAAUGGGUUUGAUCUUUUGAGCCUGCAAUAUCACCAUUAACAAUUUACUGAAGACAGCAAUCCUGUAUCACCCAUCAAACAAUUUAGGCAAAAAACCAAAAGUGCAAAUUAUCUGCAAAGGUGAAAGAACAGAUCACAGACUAUCAAUGGUCUCCUAUAGAUGUUGAUAGAGAGUCAUAUGGAUACACAGAAUGAAAAGGCAAAAUGGAUUCUGCUUUUUGGUCAAGUUCUUAAGAACUGUGAACAUGGUUGGUUUAAUUCUAUGCUCAAGCAUGAAAUCAGCCUAUGCUAGUUAUCAGAUUAGCAGAUUUUUUUUUACUAUUGAUCUUUAAAUAUUAAGAAACACAUUCCUAGUACCAGGAAAAACCUUUAUAGAGAGCAGGACACCAGCACCUAUGGAAAGGCAUGUUUCUCAUGUGCAUAGUUGCACACUGGCAUUUGGGAGAAUUGUGCCCUUAUCCCAGCUAUAUCACUGCCUUGCUGGGUAACCAUGAAGAAGUCAGUCCCUUGUCUUCUACCACUGCUUCCCCCUCAGAAAAUUAUGAAUAAUAAUUUCAGGCUUCUUUGGAAAGAAGAUUUCUUUGAAAUCUAUGGGUGGAGAGCAUUGUGUAAGAGCAGGGUAUUACAGGUAAUUUAUUUAUGUCUUGUUCAGCUGGUCUAAGCUCCCCUACAGCAGCGAUCACAAUAAACACUACACUCUUGGCAGUUAAAGCACUUUCUUGUGUUCACUGCCCAAACUCUUGUUCCAAUUCCCCAGUCUCCAGCAGCUGAAAGGUCUGAUCCAUUACAGGUUCUGGCCCAUUCUAGAGUGGGGCCUGUCUUCUUAAGUCCUGUGUACUCCAGUUCCCAACCUCCACUGGCUUGGGUGCUUCCUUUCUCAAUCCCACACUCCAUUAUGUGACACCAUGUCUCACAAGAUCCAUCCCUUGUUGUCUCACCUGCGCAGUGACUCCCACUGGACUACCUGCACUGCGCCAGCCAAGGUAAAAACCUCUUCCUCCCUCUUCCUCACUCUCUCUGUUGAGGCCUGGCACAGUUUAGUAAAAAAAAAGUGAACAUAAAUAGCAAAGCAUCAAUAUAUUUUCUUGUAUGGAAGCACAGUAUCUGAUAAGGAUGUGCAUGACUAUAAGCUGCUGAUAGCAAAUUGGAUGAAUGCUGGUUUGCACAGAUCUCCAAGCAAGCAACCACUCUGUCAAACUUGGUUCUCCACCC
This 2473-nucleotide long non-coding RNA is filed under the name Taeniopygia guttata (zebra finch). RNAcentral describes it as "lncRNA (ENSTGUG00000021424.1)". Lineage: Eukaryota; Metazoa; Chordata; Aves; Passeriformes; Estrildidae. The record is from RNAcentral.